CUGAGCACUGUAGGUCUCUUACCAAUCUUUUUUUUUUUCUUUGAUGAUCAAUGCAAAAUUGACAUUAGGCCCUCUGAAAUGCUCCAUACUGACAGCACAUUUCCCAUCAGCAGUAUCUGUAAGCUCCUGUUGCACCGGGUAAUGGCCAAGAACUUCUACAGUGGAAGAUCAGGCAUGUAGAACUCUUGCCUACAUGAAACCAGUUAUGCCAGCUGAAUUCAAAACUUUGCUACUACCAAGGAUUACUGAAGUCACAUGGAACUGCUAUAGACACCUUCUGGAUGAUGCUUUCACAAUAAUUCUAGCUUACCUGGCUUGGAGUUUUCUCUGCAUGGAUGUCAUACUUACUCAGCCUUAACUGAUUCAAACAAAGUUCUUCUACACAUGAAUCUGCACCGUCAGUGGGGAAGUACUCAAAGUAAGGCUGGUGAAGCCAGUCAUAGGUUCUGACGCCACAAAAAGCUAAAUUCAGCAAGCUCACAACGUACCACCCCUAACCUAGUCUGAAUUUGUAGCAGAAAUACUCCAUUAGUCACCAUUCCAGCAUGAUACAGUCUCUGCUACCUGGCACUGUAGUAUGAGUGGGACUAGAAAUGUUCAGAAUCCUUUACCAUCAUCUGAAAGUAGGAAAGCCUUAUCUGCUAAGAUUGGGGGGGGGAGUUGGGUUUGGGAUAUUUUGUGUGGUUUUCUUUUUCUGUCUAACACUGCACUCCUUAAAAUGUUGAACACCAGCUUUACUUUGCCAUAAAGUUCAUAAUACUUCACUGAAAGUGUGGGUCUGCCAAGGGCAUCCAUGUAUGUAUGUAGAACCUAAAUGUUGAGAAGUACACUUGUGCUGUCUGAAUGGAAGUUCAUGUAGAAUUCUUCUAAUUUGAAUUAUUUUUUAAUUUGUUAGUCUUUGAUGUAACUUUGUUUCAGGUGAUUUAUGAAUUUGCCAAAGCAUAGACAGCAUGAAAGUUACUAAUUAGCACCAUUAUUGUCAGUACAUGUCUCAGCUAUCGCUUCUCAACUUUCACUGCCUCUUUAACCCCCAAAAGGGAAUAUUUAAAACAAAUAUAUGUUUUAAAAUAAAAUACUUCUGGGUACUUAUCAAAUUAAUUUUGCCUUGCUAAACUUUUCACAAGAACGAAAGAAGAAUUGUUGUGCUUUUAUGAAUUUCACAGUGUUUGCAGUUCAAUAGGCAGGUAGUGCAACUUUUGGAAUGCUUUCUGCAGAUGUCUGCAGGAUGGAUAACACUCCCUGACAAGAGAUUUAGCAAUUUUUAACACUGUGUUACAAUUGUACUUUGAUAAUACCUUAAAUUUAAUUCUACCUCUUUUUUUCAGUGAACACAUACCUCGGCUAAUCUCACUUUAUCACGCUAGCCUGUUAUUUGAUCAUACUGCCAACUAAAUCUUUAACUGAGGGAACAGAAUAAUUUUCCUUUUUAUUCAAUUAUUCUCAAACUCAGGAAAACAAAAAAUCAGUUUUGGCUGGAAUAUUACUUGUUUGGUUUCCACCCAAAAGAAAUGUUUAACAUAUUUGGUUUAACAUGUUCGAUCAGAAAUUUACUUCAGAAUGUGAGCAUGAGAAAAUGGACAAAUUUCUCAUGAAUAAAAAAAGGCACUGGUAUUAUUUUGAACAUCUGUAAUGGAGAGAGGUUAGAAACUGAAACUGAGUGAAAAACAGCUUCAAUUUUCUUGAGUUACAGAUUGUUAGAAACAGAACCCUGCACUUGGUCAAAGCAAAUUUUUCUUCACUAACAUGGCAUGCUGUGAUGCUUCAUGGUUAAUAUGCCUAAGACCCAGAGGCUGGGGAAGCACUUCUGUCAGAUGUAUCUGAAAAAGCACAAAGAAAAAAAACCAAAACUUUGUAAAAUGGAAAAUAACUCUCAACAAAAAUUAUUUGCCCUUUGCUGAAAAUGUUCAUUGAAAUGAACCAAAUCCAAGUGUGCAAUAAUUUUGAACCUUAAAAAAAGAGCUUUAAAAAAACCUUAAAAGACCUUAAAAAUAAAAGUGAUUUGAUUUUGGUUUUAGGUUUUUUUUACAGGAGUUGAGGAAGUAAUAUUGUUACCUACAAUCAAUUCCUUCUGUUUGCCAAAGGUGUACAGAGUGGAAUUGCGCAGCAAUACUGGAUUCUGUUUAGGAACUCAGUGAUACAGGAGCAGAUCCGAGGUGUGCUACACACAGGCUUCCCUCUGACAGCCAAGGCAUAAAAGCCACCAGAGUAGGCAAUUAUGCAUCAACCCAAUACAACUACUCCAGACUCAGGUAACUAUAAGUAAUGACCAAGGAUGUGCUUCUAAAAUCAGAUGUAGAUUGUAUCAUACUUAUUUUUAUUAUAUUUUUUUAAUGUUUGACUUGCAACAAAGUACACAGGGAAAAAACCUGGUAUAACACGUAGCUCCACAUAAGUAAAAAAAAAAAAUAUUCAAAAGAAGGUGGAAUUGGUCAGGAAAACAGAGAAAAAUCAAUGAAAAUUUUGAUCAAGCUAUGUGAACUGGGUAACAGAAUUGUUUUGCUACCUGAUAUUUUAAUGAGUCACCUCCAAAGUAACAUUGUGUUGAUGUGAAAACAAUGUUUCAAGCAUGUUCCAUUGCUGUAACUUGAAGUCGCUAGUUUGUACAAAGACAUUGCUAACAGUAUGCAAAAUGGCUUAGAUGUAUAUAGGACAUAAAUAUGGGAAGCAGAUGGAAGAACACAAAAAAACCAUAUUUAAGAGAAAUAAUAAUUUUUGGAGGAGUUAACUUUCUGCAUCAUGGUGUGUGUUGAAGUCAGGCUGCACUCAGAUAAAAUAAAUGAACAAGGUUUUGCAUGGAGAAGAAUAUAACAAAAUGCCAACAGAUUGCUAUGGAGAGUUUGGCAGGAGAUAAGAGAUGAUUUUCGCAAUAAAAGAACAUUAAACUUACUAAUAGCUCUCUGAAGCUUAAAACUUGCAACUACUAAAACUUGCAACUAUUUGAAACCAACCAGAGACUGAUGAACAGGAGAAAACCAGGAUUCCCAUGAAUUUCAGUGUAACAUAGUGUUCAAUCAUGGAAUAGUCUGGGUCGGAAGGAACUUUUACAGGACUUCUAGUCCAGUGAUCAGGAACAUAUUCAGCUAGAUCAGGCUGCUCAGAGGCCUUACCUUAAAAGCUUUAAAAUUUUGAUUCAUUAUGUUCAUUACAUAUUACAUUACUUUUCCCCCUAGCUUCUGGCCUCUGUAAAAGUAUGGAAAGUAACUCCUUUUCCUGCAUUU
This is a long non-coding RNA of Passer domesticus (house sparrow), 3218 nucleotides long. RefSeq lists it as uncharacterized. Lineage: Eukaryota; Metazoa; Chordata; Aves; Passeriformes; Passeridae. The record is from RefSeq and is a predicted model, not a curated record. The transcript has 3 exons.